This is a long non-coding RNA of Pistacia vera, 2778 nucleotides long. RefSeq lists it as uncharacterized. The transcript has 8 exons. The record is from RefSeq and is a predicted model, not a curated record. NCBI's taxonomy places the organism in Eukaryota, Viridiplantae, Streptophyta, Magnoliopsida, Sapindales, Anacardiaceae.
GCCCCCUUCCCCACCCGAGUACACUCCAACACCAUCACCAUCACCAUCACCAUCGCCACCACCAUCAUCAUCCACCAUCCAUUACAACCACCAAGGGCGGAACAUAGAGUGGGCUAGCCCUAGAUUUUUUAAAAUUUAGCCUGAUCAAGAAAAAAUUCCUAGUUGCGCCCCUUACAACCACAAACAAAUUGGGCUUUGAGAAAUCAAACAUAAUCAAAUUAAAAAUCAAUAAACCCAAAUGCGCAAAACCAAACAACCAAAAUGCUCCACCACCAAAAUCCACAACAAGCCCAAUCUUGGCCUAAGUGACAUCCAGAUAAUAAUCAGAUUUUCCAACAGUGCUCUCAGUGUUUGGGCUUUGAGAAAGCAAAGUGGUGGAGGUUGUGCAGCAGCCUUCUAAGGGACGGCCUUCAAAGGUGGAUUUGUGGCUGUGGGGAUGCGGAAGAAAAGUGGGGGGGAUCGAAUAGAAAUUUGCAUGCAUUAGAAAAUGCUUUCUCACUUCUCUGUUUUCUCUUCAUGUUUAAAUAAGAAAGCACAUCUCAGCAUCAUUACUGGCUCAAUAAAAUCUUUAAUUUUUAUUAAGAACUGAUUCAUAUAUCUAUAACAUGCUUUCUCUUACUGUUGGAUACCUCUUUUAUCAGGGAGCUUCUCAAAUUACAGUGGAUUCCCUCUAUGAAAUCUUUUGAUGACUCAUUGAGAUAGAGUGGCAAGAUUAUGGUGUAAUGAAUUUUCUGAAGAAUCAAGGUUGAAAUAUGAUGUAUGAAGAAGUUUCCAGAUUCAGAUUCCAUCAAAUGUUUAUUGUCUCAGUGAAGCAUUUUGCGAUAUAGAAGAAAGGAGGAAUAGCGUCGAAAGAACUCGAUCAAUGGUUGGUUUUGCUUUCUGAAUGCUGCUUUCUGUUCUUUCUUCAUUUCUUGAUGUUUAAUUUGAAAGGAUAUCGUAGCAUUUUUUGUUACAAGGAAUGAACAUAAACUCUUCUAAUCAAUGAGGAUGACAAAUCACUUCUUGAAAUCUUACACCCACCAUUGAAUGUGGAGAAAUUACGGCAAUGGAAUUACAGGGGCAACACUAUUUUCACCGACUGGAUGAUGUCCUUAACCAACCUCAGGCACUUAAGAAUUUGUCAUUCCAUAAACUGCAUUACCAAACUACCUUGUUUAGAAUACAACAUUGGAUAUAUCCAUUGAGGAUCGUCCUAUGUUAGGCCGCUUGAAGGGAAAAAUGAGAGAGAUGCGCCUCCAUCUUUUUGGAACAUCUGCAGUAUACUCAUUGGUGUAAACGUAGCUGUCCAUGUUGCUUCUCCAAUUUCAUAGAAUUCCAUCUAUGAAUUACUAGGAUAGUUCAGUGAGUGAAUCAAGUUUAAAAUUCCAUCAAAUUUCUUCAAACAACGCAUUAAAUUUCAUCUACAGAGCUUCCUAUCAUGCUGAAAAAGGGACAAACCGGGAAGUAUCUUCUAUGGGAGAUGUUCAUACUUUUAAGUCAUAACCCAACUUUUCAUAGAUUAAUCAUCUUAUAAUGUUUAUGCAAUUUUUUUACUUUUUAUACUAAGGCAUGCAAAUUUCUACCUCAGAACAAAUAUGGAAGAGAGAAGGGAUAAAUAUAGGAGAUUAUAUAUCCAAGAGGACUAAUAAAAUUGGUUAUGCUUUCUCAGUUGUUUCUUUCAUUUUUUUUUUUUUUUUUUUUUUUUUUUUUUUUUUAUGUUUAAACUAAAUUGAACAUCACAGCAUUUAUAAUGGUUGAAAAUCCAUGUUCUAUUCUGUUAAACGUGAUCUUGAUAUGUUAAUGUUGAUGCAGAGGCAAGUUUAAGAUGUCUUGAAUUUGCCCAAGUAUCAAGGUUGAAAUAUGAUGUAUUAAGAAGUUAACUAUGAUUGAGGUUCUUGUUGCAUUCUUUUUCUUGACCAAAAGUUAUCUAUGUUAAGACAUUAGCUUUGCUUGAUCUUAGUAAAAUAAGGCAUCAAAUUGGGUUAACAGAACUUUGUAUCAUGUUGGGCAACAUUGACAGACCAGGAAAUAUCUUGUGUAUCCCUACUUCUUGAAGAUCAUAACCCCACUUUUCAUACUUUAAUUUUCUGUUAAUGUUUAAGCUCUUUUUGAUUUUUAACUAAGGCAUAUAAAUUUCAAUUUAUAGCUUCAAAUUUCAUCAAAUAUUUAUAUUCUCAAUGCAGCGUUUCGCGUAAUUUGAUUGAUGGUUGGUUAUGCUUUCUCAAUGCUGCUUUCUGUUCUUCUUCAUUUCAUCAAAUUACACUGGAUGCCCUCUUUAAAAUAUUGUUGACUCUUUCCAUGAUAUAUAUAUAUAUAUAUCACAGAAGUUGCCAGAUUGAGGUUCUAGUCGCAUUCCUUUGCUUGACCAAAACUUCCCAAUCUACUGAGCAUUUCUUCUUUUUCAGCUUUUUGAAACCAGACAUUAAAUUUUGUCUUCAGAAUUUUCUAUCAUGCUGGUAACUUGACGGGCCUCAAAGUACCGUACUUCUUAAAGGUCAUAAUCCUACUUUUCAUACUUCAAUUUUCUACAGAAAUUUUCUUGCAAGACAUGUAAUUUUCUAUUUGUAGUGCAGUAUUUUGCAUUAUGGAAGAGAGGAAGAAUGGCAUUAUGAGUGUUGUCGAAAGAACUCGAUGAAUGGAUGAAACCAGCACUCACUCUCGGGUCUUCAUAUUUAGAAUUUGGUGAGCUUCCAUCAUCAAGGAUUUGCAGGGUUUUCAGGGCUAUUGUGAAGUAGUAAAGCUGAAAACAAAGCAUUCUCCAACACCAAUUUCUAGAGAAAUAUUUCGAGAAAAUGAUAA